This 450-nucleotide ribosomal RNA is filed under the name uncultured bacterium. Its description in RNAcentral is "partial 16S ribosomal RNA". It matches the Rfam family "Bacterial small subunit ribosomal RNA", at positions 354 to 796 of the family's 1533-position model. The record is from RNAcentral.
GUGGGGAAUAUUGGACAAUGGGCGAAAGCCUGAUCCAGCCAUGCCGCGUGUGUGAAGAAGGUCUUCGGAUUGUAAAGCACUUUAAGUUGGGAGGAAGGGUAGUAACCUAAUACGUUGCUACUUUGACGUUACCGACAGAAUAAGCACCGGCUAACUUCGUGCCAGCAGCCGCGGUAAUACGAAGGGUGCAAGCGUUCAUAGGAAUUACUGGGCGUAAAGCGCGCGUAGGUGGUUCAGUAAGUUGGAAGUGAAAUCCCCGGGCUCCACCUGGGAACUGCUUUCAAAACUGCUGAGCUCGAGUACGGUAGAGGGUGGUGGAAUUUCCUGUGUAGCAGUGAAAUGCGUAGAUAUAGGAAGGAACACCAGUGGCGAAGGCGACCACCUGGACUGAUACUGACACUGAGGUGCGAAAGCGUGGGGAGCAAACAGGAUUAGAUACCCGGGUAGUCC